UACGGAGGGUGCAAGCGUUAUCCGGAUUCACUGGGUUUAAAGGGUGCGUAGGCGGGCAGAUAAGUCAGUGGUGAAAUCUUCAAGCUUAACUUGGAAACUGCCAUUGAUACUAUUUGUCUUGAAUUAUCUGGAGGUAAGCGGAAUAUGUCAUGUAGCGGUGAAAUGCUUAGAUAUGACAUAGAACACCAAUUGCGAAGGCAGCUUACUACACAGUUAUUGACACUGAGGCACGAAAGCGUGGGGAUCAAACAGG
Molecule: ribosomal RNA, 253 nt
Filed under: uncultured bacterium
Lineage: Bacteria
Description: partial 16S ribosomal RNA
Rfam family: Bacterial small subunit ribosomal RNA
Source: RNAcentral